This 76-nucleotide transfer RNA is filed under the name Cunninghamia lanceolata. Its description in RNAcentral is "tRNA-Gln". It matches the Rfam family "tRNA". From Rfam's summary of the family: Transfer RNA (tRNA) molecules are approximately 80 nucleotides in length. Their secondary structure includes four short double-helical elements and three loops (D, anti-codon, and T loops). The record is from RNAcentral. RNAcentral also lists the same sequence under 1 other name. Lineage: Eukaryota; Viridiplantae; Streptophyta; Pinopsida; Cupressales; Cupressaceae.
UGGGGCGUGGCCAAGCGGCGGUAAGGCAGCAGGUUUUGAUCCUGUUAUUUCGAAGGUUCGAAUCCUUUCGUCCCAG